This 245-nucleotide unclassified non-coding RNA is filed under the name fungal sp. RNAcentral's name for it is "partial internal transcribed spacer region". The stretch from base 1 to 46 matches the Rfam family "Eukaryotic small subunit ribosomal RNA", at positions 1786 to 1831 of the family's 1831-position model. The record is from RNAcentral. Lineage: Eukaryota; Fungi.
AAGUCGUAACAAGGUUUCCGUAGGUGAACCUGCGGAAGGAUCAUUAACACGUAUCCACGUAACAACCAAACGCGAAUUCGUUUUCAACUUCUCCCUAGCGACUCAGUCGCUAGGCAUACGUUUUAAACAUUUUCCACACACACUUUUGCUAGUUGACUUUUUUACGAUGCAAUGCCUUGCGCGUUGUACACGUUCAUUCUAAAUGAAUUAAAAAACAACUCUUAGCAAUGGAUAUCUUGGUUCUC